Molecule: long non-coding RNA, 890 nt
Filed under: Vigna radiata
Lineage: Eukaryota; Viridiplantae; Streptophyta; Magnoliopsida; Fabales; Fabaceae
Description: long non-coding RNA (VRAD_LNC015845)
Source: RNAcentral
CUNAAGNGGGCAAUUCUCACAGCAAGCAGUCAUAGUCCAAAAAUUUAAAGAAACAUGNAAACAGGUCUGCAUUAUUGAGUGGUGAAGUUAACACAGAAAUAUAGAAUGCAUUAUUCGCAAGCCUCGAGUUUAUUUGAAAUGCAAAGGAAUUGAAGAAUGCAGAACUCCUGAAAUGCAAGACUAACCUGAUUCUAGCUGUAUUAUCCCUCCACACCCCUGUGGCGCACAAGCCACGCGUAUAGCCACGAACCACCACCCCUGCGGCGCACAAGCCUCACGCGCACAGCCACGAACCACCACCCCACCUGCAACACGCACAACGAACCUCGAUGAGAACGAACAGACACACAAUGCCACCGGAAACAUAGAGGUAGACGAGAGAAUGGAAGCAUAAACCAAUGGAAGCUCCACAGAGAACGCCUUAGGGUUACGACUUUGGGCAGAGGAGAACGACAAUUUCUGAAAUUUGGGCAAAACAAAAUUAGGUUUUGGAGCAAAGGGGAAGGGUUUUGGAGAAGCAAAGGGGAAUCACCGUGGAAUAAACCUGAAAGGGGACGAGAGUUCUCAAGUCGUGGAGGGGACGAGAGCAAAGGGGUAUUUUGGCUCGAAGAGUGGAGGGAAACUGAAGUCGUGGCUUAAAUGAUUAAGGAACAUACCGACGGUCCUCUGGCCCUCGGUAAUGCCCUCGGUAAAAUGUAUUUACCGAGGGGCUGGAGGCCCUCGGUAAUAUCUCGCAGCUAAUUCCCCAUUUUACUGUAGUGCAUCCUCAAUAGUGAGUUGAGCGUGAUUGCUCCCCCUAGGCAAUAAAAUCCAAGCAAUGAUAAAGGCGCACAACCUGUCAUCCCUUUUCAGCAUCCCUACUCUAUAUAAUGUAUAGUCUAUGGCAUCAU